This 253-nucleotide ribosomal RNA is filed under the name uncultured bacterium. RNAcentral describes it as "partial 16S ribosomal RNA". It matches the Rfam family "Bacterial small subunit ribosomal RNA", at positions 524 to 776 of the family's 1533-position model. The record is from RNAcentral.
UACGUAGGGGGCAAGCGUUGUCCGGAAUCAUUGGGCGUAAAGCGCGCGUAGGCGGCCAGAUAAGUCCGGUGUGAAAGUCACAGGCUCAACCUGUGAAUGCCGCUGGAAACUGUCUGGCUUGAGUCCGGAAGGGGCGAGUGGAAUUCCUGGUGUAGCGGUGAAAUGCGCAGAUAUCAGGAGGAACACCAAUGGCGAAGGCAGCUCGCUGGAACGGUACUGACGCUGAGACGCGAAGGCGUGGGGAGCGAACGGG